ACUUGGCGAAUCCGAAGACUUUCCGGGACCUUUCAAAGCCCAUGGGGGCUCAGACCAAGGAAAGGAAGCUGAAAUUUAUCCAGAGGUUUAAAGAAGUUGAGAAAACUGAAGGAGACAUGACCGUCCAGUGCCACUACUACACCCACUACUCCUCGGCCAUCAUCGUGGCCUCCUACCUGGUCCGGAUGCCACCCUUCACCCAGGCCUUCUGCGCUCUGCAGGGCGGAAGCUUCGACGUGGCAGACAGAAUGUUCCACAGUGUGAAGAGCACGUGGGAGUCAGCCUCCAGAGAGAACAUGAGUGACGUCAGGGAGCUGACUCCAGAGUUCUUCUACCUGCCUGAGUUCUUAACCAACUGCAAUGGGGUGGAGUUCGGCUGCAUGCAGGACGGAACUGUGCUAGGAGACGUGCAGCUCCCUCCCUGGGCUGAUGGGGACCCUCGGAAAUUCAUCAGCCUGCACAGACAGGCCCUGGAAAGUGACUUUGUAAGUGCCAACCUCCAACAUUGGAUAGACCUUAUUUUCGGGUACAAGCAGCAGGGGCCAGCCGCAGUGGACGCUGUUAAUAUCUUCCACCCCUACUUCUAUGGUGACAGAAUGAACCUCAGCAGCAUCACUGACCCCCUCAUCAAGAGCACCAUCCUGGGGUUUGUCAGCAACUUUGGACAGGUGCCCAAGCAGCUCUUUACCAAACCUCACCCAGCCAGGACUGCAGCAGGGAAGCCUCUGCCUGGAAAGGAUGUCUCCACCCCCAUGAGCCUGCCUGGCCACCCACAGCCCUUUUUCUACAGUCUGCAGUCGCUGAGGCCCUCCCAGGUCACGGUCAAAGGUGAUUCCCUGGCCCUGCAUUGUUUGGUGUCCUGUCCCAGGGUUGUCCCUCCAGUGGCUGGGUUCCUCUGGAGGUCCAGCGCCACAUACCUGGGCAAAGUAUUGGGGACUGACUUUGAAUGGCUGCAUCUCCAGUCACAGCCAGAUUCUAGGGGGGUGUCGUCUCUGGGAAGUGUCUAGGAGCUCCUCUGUUAGACCCUAACUUCUGAAGACCCACAUCUCUUUGUCUUUCUCGCUGUCUCUCUCUCACACAUACACACACACACACCUCUUUCAGGCACACACACACAUCUCUCUUCCUCUUCCUCUCUUUUAUACAUGCACACACACAUGUACACACACAUACCUUCUCUCCUCAAGAGACCAGUGGAGAGUCCCAAGUUUCCCAAGGAAGGAUUACAACCUCUGUUCUUUGGCCACUGGUCCUCCUAAGCAGGGCAGGAUAGGCAGGCAGCCAGUAGCUAAGAACAUGUGCCCUGGGGCAGAUGGCCCAGGAGUGAAUUCCAGUCCUACUGCUUCCUGCCUGUGUGACCUUGGGCAAGCCAUUGAACCUCCAUGUUCCCAUGGGGAUUGGAAUAGGGUUGAAUGGACGCUAUUACAGAAUUGUAUUGAUGCUUAGAUAAAUGAGCCUGCAGAGAGUUGGUGAGGAAAGGAUGAAAAACAUGAGAAAUAGGUUGAGCCAAUGAAGGGAGCCAUGUGAUCUAGGGAGGGAAGAGGGUCACUCUGGCCCUAUUAUUGAGAAACAGUUCUUCCAGGGACCAGGGGCUCCUCAGCAAGGCCAGUCAGCAAGAGCGCAAUGAGAUGGGCAACCUUCGGUGCCCAGCACAUAGUGGUGAUUAUUAGUCCAUCUCUUCUGACCACAGUUCAGUGGCUUCCUCAGCUGCCACCAAGGCUCAGAGAGGCUCUAUAGAAGCAGGAGUCCACUGGGGUGGAGGUGGUUCCACUGGGGUGGGGGUGAUCCCACCCAGCCCAGGAGGGAGGAUCACCCAGAUGGAAGCAGAAGAGAGGGUGAGGCUGGGUUCCUAGGGCCAUGUAUGUAUGAAGUCGGGUGCCAGUGUCAUCUGAGGACAUGCACUGCCUUGGGGAAAUUCCACUACAUUGAACAACAUGCAGGUCCUAAGGAGUAUGAAGUUAAGUUUUCAGGGGUUUUAGUGGUGUCCUUUUUUAUCCUUGAAGUCCAAGAACAGUGUCAUUGGCACACCCCACCCUGGUAGAUAAGGUGCUGCUACUCUUGGCUCUGGGGUCCAUGCCUCCAUUUGCCCCAGGACUGGGGAUCUGCUGCUGCAUUGAAGUCCCUGGGCAGUCAGGCACAGCCCCUGCCCUCACGGAGAGGGACAUGAGGUGCAAACCACAUCAACAGUAACAAGGGAGCUCAAAUCUCCCAUAUGGGCUCCAGGAGACUGAUGCAGAUCUUACCAGCCACGGGUCCUGGGGAUCCUUCCUGAGGCUCAGUUUCCUCAUGUGUAAGGUAUGGAAGACAAUGGCCCUGCCCUCAGGCUUGUGACAGUGCCAUGAAGUGGUGUCUGUCACACAGGCAGGCAACAAGCCAGAGCUGAAACAGGAUUCCUGGCAGAUGCUGGUGCCACUCUGAGCACACACACUGGGCCUUGCUUUAAGGGGCCUGGCUUUACUCUCUCCCUUUGAUCUGAGCAGCCCCAGAGGGUAAGGGCCAUUGAUGCCACAGUUCCUUCCCUACAGGGAGAGACAUCUCACAGUCUUAUUCUGGAGCCUUUCCUGAAUCCUGCUCCCUCUCUUCCUCCUGGGUGGUAGGGUCAGGAAGAGGGUGGUUCUCCCACUUCACCCAGCACAGGGCAAGGAAGGGAGUGGCCCACACCAGGAGGAAGGAAAGGCCCCUACGUGGUGGCUGUGGUGUGCACAGUCUUAAAAACUAGGCUGGCCUCAGUGUUUUGAGUCAACAAGCUGCACCAGGCUCUGUGCCAGGGGACACACAUUGAAAGGGGCAUGGUUGUCUCUACUCCAUGGGAAGAGGCUGGGGUCUGAAGAGAUGGAAUGACUUUGCCAGCAUAACCAGACUUGGAAUGAGGUCUGGGCAGCUCCAAAUCCCAUGCUGUGAACCAUAUUCCAGCUGGGGCUGGAUAUGGCUCCCAGAAUGGAGCUGAGGGAGGAUGGGAAGUGUGCCUCCCUGUGACUCCUGCCCUGGGGCCCGGCUACAGUGGGUGCUGUCCUUCUGUGCAUAAGUUGAAGUCCAGUGUGUCUGCCUGUCACUCCUGCCCAGGGCCCAGCUGCAGUGGGUGUUGUCCUUCCAUGUAUAAGUUCAAGUCCAGUGUGUCUGCCUGUGACUCCUGCCUGGGGGCCCAGCUGUAGUGGGUGCUGUACUUUCAUGCAUAAGUUUGCCAUACUAACUGGGGUGUAGAUAUGUACCUCUUUUCUCUAGGCUCAGAGUCCCCCAGAGGGGCCAUUGGCCACAUUGUCCCUACUGAGAAGACCAUUCUGGCUGUAGAGAGGAACAAAGUGCUGCUGCCUCCUCUCUGGAACAGAACCUUCAGCUGGGGCUUUGAUGACUUCAGCUGCUGCUUGGGGAGCUACGGCUCCGACAAGAUCCUGAUGACAUUCGAGAACCUGGCUGCCUGGGGCCGCUGUCUGUGCGCCGUGUGCCCGUCCCCAACAAUGAUUGUCACCUGUGGGACCAGCACUGUGGUGUGUGUGUGGGAGCUCAGCAUGACCAAAGGCCGCCCAAGGGGCUUGCGCCUCCGGCAGGCCUUGUAUGGACACACACAGGCUGUCACGUGCCUGGCAGCAUCAGUCACAUUCAGCCUCCUGGUGAGCGGCUCCCAGGACUGCACCUGUAUCCUGUGGGACCUGGACCACCUCACCCAUGUGACCCGCCUGCCCACCCAUCGGGAGGGCAUCUCAGCCAUCGCCAUCAGUGACGUCUCAGGCACCAUUGUCUCCUGUGCGGGAGCACACUUGUCCCUAUGGAAUGUCAAUGGACAGCCCCUGGCCAGCAUCACCACAGCCUGGGGCCCAGAAGGAGCCAUAACCUGCUGCUGCCUGAUGGAGGGCCCAGCAUGGGACACAAGCCAGAUCAUCAUCACCGGGAGUCAAGACGGCAUGGUCCGGGUUUGGAAGACUGAGGAUGUGAAGAUGUCUGUUCCUGGACGGCCAGCAGGAGAGGAGCCCCCAGCUCAGCCUCCAAGCCCAAGAGGCCACAAGUGGGAGAAGAACCUGGCCUUGAGUCGAGAGCUGGACGUUAGCACUGCUUUGACAGGGAAGCCCAGCAAAACCAGCCCCGCGGUGACGGCUCUGGCCGUGUCCAGAAACCAGACCAAACUCCUGGUUGGUGAUGAGAGGGGGAGAAUAUUCUGCUGGUCUGCAGAUGGGUAGGAAGAGAGAGGCAGCAGAGGCUCUGGCACAACAGUGCCAGGCUGAGGGCGGCAGAGGUGACUGGGGCCUGAGUUCUGCCUACAGAGGAAACCCCCAGGGCCUCCUUCCCCACAGCUCUCAAGGAAGGGCCUCUGGCAAUCAGAGCUCUGCACCCCAACCCUCUCCAUGGCCGAUGGGACUUCUAUGAAAAGGAUGAGCGCACACACUCAGAGGGCUGAGCAGCACGCUGGAAACUGUGACUUGGUGAUGCCCAGCUGCACACGAAAUUAUGCAUGACUCACCUUGUUAAGGGCUAUUGCACUGAAAAAAAAAAAAAAAAAGAUGGGGUCGCUUACUGGAAAUUAUUGAAUUGUCUUUAUUUUAUUAAAGCAACUAUGUUCUAAAUGCC
This 4560-nucleotide small RNA is filed under the name Pongo abelii (Sumatran orangutan). Its description in RNAcentral is "retained intron". The record is from RNAcentral. Lineage: Eukaryota; Metazoa; Chordata; Mammalia; Primates; Hominidae.